AUGACAAUUAACAAGGCGCAGGGUCAGACCAUCCCAAACGUCGGUAUCUACCUUCCCGAGCCAGUAUUCUCACAUGGCCAGCUCUAUGUUGCAUUCUCAAGGGGAGUGUCGAGAGAGACAACACGGAUUUUGGCCAAGCCAAACCAGGAGAUUGAUAAAUCCGGGAAAAGUACGAAAAACAUUGUCUAUAGAGAUUUUUUGGACAGAUGA
RNAcentral lists this ribosomal RNA (210 nucleotides) under Triticum aestivum (bread wheat). RNAcentral describes it as "partial small subunit ribosomal RNA". Lineage: Eukaryota; Viridiplantae; Streptophyta; Magnoliopsida; Poales; Poaceae. The record is from RNAcentral.